RNAcentral lists this ribosomal RNA (447 nucleotides) under uncultured bacterium. Its description in RNAcentral is "bacterial SSU rRNA". It matches the Rfam family "Bacterial small subunit ribosomal RNA", at positions 355 to 825 of the family's 1533-position model. The record is from RNAcentral.
UGGGGAAUAUUGCGCAAUGGGCGAAAGCCUGACGCAGCAACGCCGCGUGAGUGAAGAAGGCCUUCGGGUUGUAAAGCUCUUUUACCAGGGACGAUAAUGACGGUACCUGGAGAAUAAGCCCCGGCAAACUUCGUGCCAGCAGCCGCGGUAAUACGAAGGGGGCUAGCGUUGUUCGGAAUUACUGGGCGUAAAGCGCACGUAGGCGGAUUGUUAAGUCAGAGGUGAAAUCCCGGAGCUCAACUUCGGAACUGCCUUUGAUACUGGCAAUCUAGAGUCCGGAAGAGGUUAGUGGAAUUCCCAGUGUAGAGGUGAAAUUCGUAGAUAUUGGGAAGAACACCAGUGGCGAAGGCGGCUAACUGGUCCGGUACUGACGCUGAGGUGCGAAAGCGUGGGGAGCAAACAGGAUUAGAUACCCGCGUAGUCCCUGAGCGGGCUGGCAAGGCGCAU